Molecule: non-coding RNA, 154 nt
Filed under: Vibrio ichthyoenteri ATCC 700023
Lineage: Bacteria; Pseudomonadati; Pseudomonadota; Gammaproteobacteria; Vibrionales; Vibrionaceae
Description: DABA-DC-AT RNA
Rfam family: DABA-DC-AT RNA
Source: RNAcentral
GCAAUCUCGGUAGCUAUUCAUUUGAAUACUCUGGGGGAGACGCGUGAGCAGCAUUCUGGCUGAGUGUUCUCACGUAGGGUAGGUAUCGAUAAAUCCGUUAUCGAUAGACGGGAUACUAAUGUCGCUCAGUGACAUGUGAAUGGGAAACCCAACA